RNAcentral lists this ribosomal RNA (401 nucleotides) under uncultured eukaryote. RNAcentral's name for it is "SSU rRNA". It matches the Rfam family "Eukaryotic small subunit ribosomal RNA", at positions 587 to 996 of the family's 1831-position model. The record is from RNAcentral.
AGCUCCAAUAGCGUAUAUUAAAGUUGUUGCAGUUAAAACGCUCGUAGUCGGAUUUCGGGGCGGGGUGCCGGUCUGCCGAUGGGUAUGCACUGGUAGUCGCGUCCUUCCUUCCGGAGACUGGCCCUACUCUUAACUGAGCGGGGUCGGGAGUCGGAUCGUUUACUUUGAAAAAUCAGAGUGUUUCAAGCAGGCAGCUCGCUCUUGCAUGGAUUAGCAUGGAAUAAUGGAAUAGGACUAUGGUCUCGUUGUUGGUUUGAGGGAUCGCAGUAAUGAUUAAUAGGGAUAGUUGGGGGCAUUAGUAUUUAUUAGCUAGAGGUGGAAUUCUCUAAUUUAAUAAAGACUAACUUAUGCGAAAGCAUUUGCCAAGGAUGUUUUCAUUAAUCAAGAACGAAGUAGACACG